UAUCUGUCUUAAUGUAAACAGCUUUGUUAAGUUCAUAGUUUGUGCAUAUUUUUGUCGUUUAGCACAUAACAAGCACAGUACGGUUUCGAUGCUCGUCUCGGAACAGGAGUGGAGGAUGUGCAUAUGCUGCUGGUUGUACUGCUCAACGUAGGCCACCGCCCACAACCCUGAGAUUAAUGUCUGGAGUGUGAUUUGCUAGCCGGGCACUAUUGUUUCAGGUCCUUUGCAUGAAAAACUCCCAAAGAAUUGCCGCGCAAGUUUUCUAAAGAGUACAAAUAGUUUCCCAACGCUUUUGUGACUCGACAUUUAGUUUACUUUCUGCAAAACUUGGAAUUCCUAUUCAUGCUGAAGUCACUUAGGACAAAGUUUCUCUUUUAUAUUUCUUGUCCCGGUGAGUAUCGAAUUUCUCGGGCCUUUAAGUUGUAACGCUUCGCUGCUUUCUCGUAGGCCUGAUGUAUCCUUUCUUUUAUUUUCUCUCUGGAUAGCUGUUGUCGGUCCGACCUGGGCAAUUGGGCUAUCUCAGCUUCAUUCAGGGCAUUCAAAUUACGAGCCAGCGAGUAAUCUUUCCCAUUCGUAAACAUGUUCUGUCCGAACAUGGCAAAAUACGGCGAAGUUCCGGUGCUGCUAUGGAUGGAUGACCUCAGCGACGCUUGUAUGUCCGCUAAGUGUUCAUCCCAUCGCGUGUGGUCAUCCUGGAUGUUUACUCGAAUCGCUGCUAACACGGAUUGGCUUACUCUAUCCGAAGCAUUGAAUUGUGGUGCCUAUCUCCCUACCUUCAUGUGUGUAAUCCCAUAUUCUUGCAGCAUACUUUCGAAUUCCUUGGAGAUAAACUGUCUUCCGUUGUCCGUGUGGAUUGUUUCCGGAACUCCGAAUUGGGUGAAUAUUCCUUCUUGUAGGAAUCGGAUUACAGCUGUCGAUGUUGCCUUCGGCAUCGCUUUUAGCCACACAAACUUGGUUAAGUGAUCCAACGCGAUAAAUAGCAUGGUAUUUCCUCGGCGAGACCGUGGAUACUUUCCUAAGAAAUCCAGGUACAACUUUUGAAUGGGUCGAUCUGUCCGUACUUCCUUACCAAUCUCUGGUCGCUUUAUCUGCGUUGUGUGCUUGUUCUCUUUACAGUUUUCGCAUGCUGCUACAAAGUCUCGGACUUGAAUAACCAUUUUGAGCCAGUAAUACGUAUGCGAAAGUCUCGCUAAGGUCUUUGCCAUACCGCCAUGCAAUGCCAUGUCGCUGCAGUGGGCUUGCUGGAUUAGAGUUGUCGUCCACAGUUUCCAUUCAAAUUCAUCACUUUCCUCUCUAUUAAAGUGUGUCUUCUUGAAUAGAAGUCCUUCUUCCACACGUAUUCAGGACUCUCAAACUCCGUUGUCUCAAAAUCGAAGAACUCUACUUCGGUGGCUUCAUUCGGCCGAGAUAGCAUGUCGGCCACGAUGUUGUCUUUCCCUUUCCGAUGCUCUAUGUUGAAGUCGAAUGCCUGUAAUGCUAAAAACCACCGCGACAGCCUCCCGUUCAAAUCCUUUAGCGUCAUAAGCCAUUGCAGACUUGCAUGGUCGGUAACGAUCGUGAACGGCAUCAACUUCACAUAGGGACGGAACCUUUCCUCGGCUUUUACUGCUGCGAGACACUCUUUUUCCGUUACGCUGUAAUUAAGUUGUGCUCCUCUCAGCUUCGCCGAAAAGAAUGCUAUUGGCCGGUCCGAUCCUUCUACGUCUUUCUGAUAUAAUACUGCCCCAAUUCCUACAUGGCUGGCGUCACACUGUAUCCAGAAGUGUUUUCCAAAGUCUGGAUGAGCUAAUACCGGCGCACAGGCAGUCCGUAAGCGGCGCACUUACACCGGAGAAAUUUUGGAUAAAUCUGCGAUAGCAGCCUGCGGUUCCUAAGAAGCUGCGUAGUUGUCGCGUAUUUUUGGGCACUCUAUCUUCAUAAUCGCCUCCACUUUCUUCGGAUCUGUCAGCAAGGCCCCAUCACCGAUGAUGAAUCCCAAAUAUCGCAACAACAUGCAGUGUUCUUCGAAAGUCUUGGAUAUCAUCAGCAAGUCAUCCAAGUAUACAAAGACGCGGCUGCGAAGACGCUGUGGGAUUACCUUCUCGAUUACCCUACACAACCUUUGAGCCGAAUUACAUAAUCCAAAUGGCAUCCGUCGAUACUGAUAUAGUGGCCUUCCAGGUUUCUGUACCAGCGUCGUUCCAGGGACUUUCACUUAACUCGAUGACUCCUAACCGUAGCAUUUUAUCCACUUCUGCGAACAGCAGCUGUUGUUUUGCCGGGGACACUGGAAAAAAUCUCUCAUUGACGAGUACAGCUCCUUCAACUAACUGGAUCGAGUGUUCUACCAUGUUGCUCAGUCUGUUCGGGGGAUAGAAUAUGUGCCUCUAUAGGUUCUCCUUUGGCCAUAAAUUCGGAUUCCACCCGGUGUAAAAAUUCUACACCCACCACCUCUGGUGCCAAUUCGAAUUUUCUCCAGAUAUCUAUACCCAGCAAGCUUACUGAUGCCCUGGAAUCCAAAAGAUCCACGACCUCCAGGUCUUCGAUCUUGACCUGUGCGAAUGGUCUAUUGUCGCCUUCCACCGCAGCUCUGAUGGCCGAACAAAUCAUCCUUUUUUCUGCCUUCCGCUGCUGACUUCUCCUACGGGCUCUGGCAAUUUUUGGCGAAAUGUUCCGGUCCGGAUCAUGUUUCCCAAAUAUUCGGUUCCUGACCUCUUGGUAAUGUGCUUCCCGGACUGCUAUAGGUUCACGUUUCGACCAUUUAUUGGUUUAUUCAUAUUUAUCAGUAUCUUACUCAUUUUAUUCUCCUCUCUUCGCCAAAAACCACUUAAACUUUUAGGAUUAAAACCUUGGUUCAUUUGGGAGUUAUCCAGUCUAAGGAACCAGUUCCAUGAUUUGACUAAGCUGCACGACUCCCUGAACUCACGAGUCGUCGAUAGUCGUGUAUCGAUUUUUCGCCUAUCGUUAUCUGUCUUAAUGUAAACAGCUUUGUUAAAUUCAAAACUUGUGCAUAUUUUUGUCGUUUAGCACAUAACGUCUGCCAAUAAUGUGCUUAAUUAAAUCACGAUCUUCCAACUCAGCUUGACGUGCAAUACUGCAAAGCGACGAAGUAACUUUUUGCUGGUCCAAUAAGAAGACGCCUCGCAUACAACCAAUAGCGAUUGAGUGGUACUCCCAACACUGCACAUGCAGUUUCAAACUCUUCAAUCCAUAAUUUGACAGGAAUGCUAUCCUCUCCCGAAAAGGGCUCCACUACCGCCAUUAUAUCUGCGAUAUCGACCCGUGAAAAAUAUGCCGCCAUUUUUGUACCAGCUUGGUUCCGUUCCAUGUUGCAAGCGUUCCCUGACAAACAUCAGCCAGAUCCUCUCGAAACGUGCGCUCAUCCAGUCCAAUCUGAGCCACGUGCUGCACAAGAGGUUCUGCAUGGGCUAUCUUGUCUUGUACGUCGGUGUCGCCUCCCGCAGCUUGAUCUUGAGACACGAUUUUGCUUAUCUGGUGCCGAGAAACCAUGCUGCCGCAAACAGCCCGAUCUUGCAAAACAAUGUUUUUUGCAGCUGCCUGACCAUGUUCGUCAUCCGGGCCAGCCUCAUGCUUGUCGCUCAUUUUAAACAAAGUGUUUGCCGCAAUGCGCAAUUGGUGUAUGGAAGCUCCGACGUCAAAAUGCACUUCGUUGGCUCUCAAUAGCUGUAAUAACUCUUCCUUUGAUUGCUUCAAUAAAUCAGAAUACAACAUGGGUAUUAUAUAUGAGAGCUAUGGGCAGUCACCCCACACCUGAAUUUGUAAAUGAUGCUUGUUCGGAGCAGAUCGCCAGCGCAUAGGUGUACGACGGCACCUGCAGCGCUCUCUGCUUAUCUUUGUCGCCUUCUUUCUUAUACCAUUAAAGCUGUCGCUUAUCUAUUCAGCAACUACUUUGUAAGCCUGCAAAUGUUUAUAUGAAGUUCUUGGAGCCGAGCUUUUACACAGUCCGUCUGCCGCUCCGAAUAAACGCUAUACAUUUUAAUAUAA
Non-coding RNA from Drosophila suzukii, 3984 nucleotides. Lineage: Eukaryota; Metazoa; Arthropoda; Insecta; Diptera; Drosophilidae. The record is from RefSeq and is a predicted model, not a curated record.